Molecule: unclassified non-coding RNA, 79 nt
Filed under: Escherichia coli
Lineage: Bacteria; Pseudomonadati; Pseudomonadota; Gammaproteobacteria; Enterobacterales; Enterobacteriaceae
Description: partial (3' truncated) Salmonella enterica Typhi npcRNA 44
Rfam family: Salmonella enterica Typhi npcRNA 44
Source: RNAcentral
CUUUAAAAAUCUGGAUCAAGCUGAAAAUUGAAACACUGAACAACGAAAGUUGUUCGUGAGUCUCUCAAAUUUUCGCAAC